UGGCGGACGGGUGAGUAACGCGUGGGUAACCUGCCUCAUGCAGGGGGAUAACAGUUAGAAAUGACUGCUAAUACCGCAUAAGACCACAGCACCGCAUGGUGCAGGGGUAAAAACUCCGGUGGUAUGAGAUGGACCCGCGUCUGAUUAGGUAGUUGGUGGGGUAACGGCCUACCAAGCCGACGAUCAGUAGCCGACCUGAGAGGGUGACCGGCCACAUUGGGACUGAGACACGGCCCAA
RNAcentral lists this ribosomal RNA (238 nucleotides) under uncultured bacterium. RNAcentral's name for it is "partial 16S ribosomal RNA". It matches the Rfam family "Bacterial small subunit ribosomal RNA", at positions 96 to 334 of the family's 1533-position model. The record is from RNAcentral.